AAUCAAGCGCGAGAAGGGCGUUUGGUGGAUGCCUUGGCAGUAAGAGGCGAUGAAGGACGUGAUACUCUGCGAUAAGCCAUGGGGAGCUGAGAAUAAGCUUUGAUCCAUGGAUCUCCGAAUGGGGCAACCCACCUGACAGUUCGAUAUAAUAGCCUUCGGGCGAUUUAUAUCUGGCUGAAACAGGUACUUUUAACCUGAAUACAUAGGGUUUUAAGAGCAAACCCGGGGAACUGAAACAUCUAAGUACCCGGAGGAAAGGAAAUCAAUGAUACUCCCCUAGUAGUGGCGAGCGAACGGGGACCAGCCGAGCCAUGAGAGUGACUAGAACACGUUGGGAAGCGUGGCCAUAGCGGGUGACAGCCCCGUAUAGGAAGCUCGAUUGGACGUAUUAAGUAGAGCGGGACACGUGUAAUCCUGUUUGAAGAUCGGGGGACCACCCUCGAAGGCUAAGUACUCCUUACUGACCGAUAGCGAACCAGUACCGUGAGGGAAAGGUGAAAAGCACCCCGACGAGGGGAGUGAAACAGUACCUGAAACCGAAUGCCUACAAUCAGUCGGAGCUUGACUGGACUCUAAUGACAAUCCCGGCGGUCUCGGCUACCACGAGCGAAAGCAAAGUGGAGCAGAGACAUGGACGGAACCCUGGCAGCCCUUUUCCUGGUCGCAUCGCUGACCGACAUGGGAGUAAAUCAUUGCGGAAGCGGAUGCUUCGCCUCCGGCGAAGAACGUGACCGUAUCGCACUCAGCUUCGGCGAGGUGCAAUACCAGGGGGCGAGCGUCGACGAAGAAAUCUACCUCAGGUACGAUUUCGGUCGGACGUUCGGACCGUUCCAGCCCAUAGUCGGCGCAUCGGUCACGACCCGCGGAGACGCGUGGAUCGGGGCAGGCGCCGCAUGGACCGCCACACUGGCAGAUACCGGGCUUUACGCCCAGCUGCAUCUGAUGCCCGGCAUCUACAGCCGCGGCAGCGGACCCGAUCUCGGCCAUACGGUCGAAUUCCGAUCGGGUGCCGAACUCGGAUAUCAAACCAGAAACGGGAUGCGUAUCGGCAUCAGUUACGACCACCGGUCGAAUGCCGAGCUGUCAUCAACCAACCCGGGCCUCGAAACCAUCCAAUUCAGGGUUUCGAUCCCCUUCUAGGUUGUCAUUAGUGUCCAGUCUUGUGACGGCGUACCUUUUGUAUAAUGGGUCAUCGACUUGGUCUAUCUAGCAAGCUUAAGCCGUUAGGUGUAGGCGCAGCGAAAGCGAGUCUUAAUAGGGCGAAUGAGUUAGAUGGAUCAGACCCGAAACCGAGUGAUCUAGGCAUGACCAGGAUGAAGGUUAGGUAACACUAACUGGAGGUCCGAACCCACACCUGUUGAAAAAGGUCGGGAUGAGUUGUGCCUAGGGGUGAAAGGCCAAUCAAACUCGGAGAUAGCUGGUUCUCCGCGAAAUCUAUUUAGGUAGAGCGUCAUCCGAAUACCCCGGGGGGUAGAGCACUGGAUGGGUAAUGGGGCCCCACAGGCUUACUGAUCCUAACCAAACUCCGAAUACCCGGGAGUACUAGAUGGCAGACACACGGCGGAUGCUAACGUCCGUCGUGGAGAGGGAAACAACCCUGACCUCCAGCUAAGGCCCCUAAUUCAUGGCUAAGUGGGAAAGCAGGUGAGACGACCAAAACAACCAGGAGGUUGGCUUAGAAGCAGCCAUCCUUUAAAGAUAGCGUAACAGCUCACUGGUCUAAACAAGUUGUCUUGCGGCGAAGAUGUAACGGGGCUCAAGCCAUGAGCCGAAGCUGAGGAUGCACGUAGUGCAUGGUAGCGGAGCGUAGUGUGACAUAACACCAUGCCUCCUUAGCGCCUUCGGGCGCAUUGGAGGCGAGGUGUUUUCGAUGAAGCCGGCGCGUGAGCGAUCCGGUGGAGAGAUCACUAGCGAGAAUGAUGACAUGAGUAGCGAUAAACAGGGUGAGAGACCCUGUCGCCGAAAGUCCAAGGGUUCCUGCUUAAAGCUAAUCUGAGCAGGGUAAGCCGGCCCCUAAGGCGAGGCCGAAAGGCGUAGUCGAUGGGAACCAGGUUAAUAUUCCUGGGCCAGGAGAUGGUGACGGAUUGCGAAGAUUGUUCGACCUUAUCGGAUUGGUCGGGCCGUUCAGCAGUCCCUGGAAAUAGCCCUCCGUAGGACCGUACCCGAAACCGACACAGGUGGACUGGUAGAGAAUACCAAGGCGCUUGAGAGAACGAUGUUGAAGGAACUCGGCAAAAUACCUCCGUAAGUUCGCGAGAAGGAGGCCCAGUUUCUAGGCAACUAGUGGCUGGGGGCACAAACCAGGGGGUGGCGACUGUUUACUAAAAACACAGGGCUCUGCGAAGUCGCAAGACGACGUAUAGGGUCUGACGCCUGCCCGGUGCCGGAAGGUUAAAGGGAGGGGUGCAAGCUCCGAACUGAAGCCCCGGUAAACGGCGGCCGUAACUAUAACGGUCCUAAGGUAGCGAAAUUCCUUGUCGGGUAAGUUCCGACCUGCACGAAUGGCGUAACGACUUCCCCGCUGUCUCCAACAUCGACUCAGCGAAAUUGAAUUGCCUGUCAAGAUGCAGGCUUCCCGCGGUUAGACGGAAAGACCCCGUGCACCUUUACUACAGCUUCACACUGGCAUCAGGCCAAGCAUGUGCAGGAUAGGUGGUAGGCUUUGAAACCCGGACGCUAGUCUGGGUGGAGCCAUCCUUGAGAUACCACCCUUGCUUCGCUUGAUGUCUAACCGCGACCCCUUAUCGGGGCCCGGGACCCUGUGUGGCGGGUAGUUUGACUGGGGCGGUCGCCUCCUAAAGCGUAACGGAGGCGCGCGAAGGUUGGCUCAGAGCGGUCGGAAAUCGCUCGUUGAGUGCAAUGGCAUAAGCCAGCCUGACUGCGAGACUGACAAGUCGAGCAGAGUCGAAAGACGGCCAUAGUGAUCCGGUGGUCCCAAGUGGGAGGGCCAUCGCUCAACGGAUAAAAGGUACGCCGGGGAUAACAGGCUGAUACUGCCCAAGAGUCCAUAUCGACGGCAGUGUUUGGCACCUCGAUGUCGGCUCAUCUCAUCCUGGGGCUGGAGCAGGUCCCAAGGGUACGGCUGUUCGCCGUUUAAAGAGGUACGUGAGCUGGGUUUAGAACGUCGUGAGACAGUUCGGUCCCUAUCUGCCGUGGGUGUAGGAUACUUGAGAGGAGUUGCCCCUAGUACGAGAGGACCGGGGUGAACGAUCCACUGGUGGACCUGUUGUCGUGCCAACGGCAGUGCAGGGUAGCUAUGAUCGGACAGGAUAACCGCUGAAGGCAUCUAAGCGGGAAGCCCCCCUCAAAACAAGGUAUCCCUGAGGGCCGUGGUAGACGACCACGUCGAUAGGCUGGAGGUGUAAGUGCGGUAACGUACUCAGCUGACCAGUACUAAUUGCCCGAUAGGCUUGAUUUG
Molecule: ribosomal RNA, 3418 nt
Rfam family: Bacterial large subunit ribosomal RNA
Source: Rfam